Long non-coding RNA from Lactuca sativa (garden lettuce), 1494 nucleotides. RefSeq lists it as uncharacterized. The record is from RefSeq and is a predicted model, not a curated record. NCBI's taxonomy places the organism in Eukaryota, Viridiplantae, Streptophyta, Magnoliopsida, Asterales, Asteraceae.
AAUAAUAAAGUAUGAUGCUAUUAUGUGUAUAAAACAUAAACAAUCAUCAAAGCUUUAAUAGACCCGCAUGUAUUCUCCCCCAAAUAUUAAAGCAAUAAAAGAAGGGCUGUAGAACUCACAUUCGAUGCGUGAUCUCGAUACUGGUUCGUUUUCGUGAAGCCUUUUAGUGAAUAACCACAAAAUAAACAUUCUUGAACUUUGAAACACUUUAGGGUUUGGGACUGAUUUCUUAAUGCUUUGUCAAAUGAGGGUUCAUUUUGUCAUUUUUUUAAGAAAUUUAAAAGGGAUUAGGGUUUUUAUGAAAAGAAUUCUCAUAGUGGGAUCAUUUUUGUUUAAUGGUUCAAACUUUAAAGAAAUUAGGGCUUAAAUUGCCCUGUCUCUUUUGUUUUGAUCGGGUAUAGGGAAGAAUGAAUGAAGGCGACGAACACAGAGAGGAAAAAUAAAGGAAGCACGAACGCAGCGAUUUGGUGGUGACGUUCGGUCCCUCGUGAGGAGGAGAGGAGAACUCCAAUCUCCGACGACUCCCUCACGUGUUUCUGCACGUCGUUGGCAGCGAGGAGUUCCGAUUGCGAAAACCACAAGAUCGAAGGCGAGGCAGGAGGCGGCAUAAGGGGGUGCGAAGGAUCGCAUUCGGUCAAUCGAUUCGCGAAGAGAUCGUCUCCGGGAUCGACGAGGCCGAAGAAAUGAAGGUGGGAAGAAGCCGUGAAGCCCUCUUCCUGCCCCGAUGGUGAUGUGCGAAGGGGGAAAGGAACCGGUGGUUGAAUGAUUCAAACGAAGAGGAGGGUGCCGUUCUCCAGCGGGCCUUCCCCUUCGAUUUGGGUCGUCUACUUCGCCUGAACAGGAAGAACAAGGAAUCAAAGAGCUGGUCUGAUCGUUGUAUCUCCGACAGGAGCUGCAGAGGCAGCCCCAUAUGGAUUAGGGAAUGAUACAUUCACUGGAGAUAUGUAAAAUCCAUCAGAUCUUAAUAGCCAAUAACAAUAAACAACACGAAAUCCAAUCCCUCCAAACCUAUCGCACGUUCUUCGCGCAAGUUUAGCAAAGACUUCCAAGCAAUCAUAUGAUUGACCCCACCAAAACUCAGCAUCAAAUGUUGUGGUGCUAUCAAGUCUAUCACAAAAGGACCAAUGAUAAUAAUCGUUUGAAGUGACAUUAUGUUUACCGAGAUCAUCAUCUUUUGAUCUAACAUGCAUAAAAAUAUUAUCAGGAGUACCGUUAAUAAUAUACAUCUUUCAUUGUGGAGUAAAGAAGCAAGAAUUUGUGAUGGAUGGGAAGGAAAAUGCUAGGAUGAGACAAAUCAAGAGGCUACGCAUUGUAUAUGACAAGUUUAAAAGAAACAUAAUUUUAUAAAUUGUAAUAGUUGGUUUUUUAUAGAAAGUUGGGCUCUCAAUCUAUAUCAUGAGAGGAUGUACUCCACCAUGCUAAUAUUUAAGAUGCAUUAACUGCUAGUAAUGUAAGAUAGUAGAUUACACAAAUUAUCCCCGUGGUUUAGCAUAA